CAGAGGUCCCGAGCGUUGUUCGGAUUCACUGGGCGUAAAGGGUGCGUAGGUGGUGAGGUAAGUCGGAUGUGAAAUCUCCGGGCUUAACCCGGAAAUGGCAUUGGAAACUACCUUGCUAGAGGAUUUGAGGGGGGAUUGGAAUACUUGGUGUAGCAGUGAAAUGCGUAGAUAUCAAGUGGAACACCAGUGGCGAAGGCGAGUCCCUGGAAAUACCUGACACUGAGGCACGAAAGCUAGGGGAGCAAAACAGGAUUAGAUACCCUGGUAGUCCUAGCCCUAAACGGUGCUUGCUUGCUGUAAGAGGAAUCGACCCCUCUUGUGGCGGAGCUAACGCGUUAAGCAAGCCGCCUGGGAAGUACGGUCGCAAGAUUA
This 372-nucleotide ribosomal RNA is filed under the name uncultured organism. Its description in RNAcentral is "bacterial SSU rRNA". It matches the Rfam family "Bacterial small subunit ribosomal RNA", at positions 526 to 896 of the family's 1533-position model. The record is from RNAcentral.